Molecule: unclassified non-coding RNA, 211 nt
Filed under: Hevea brasiliensis (rubber tree)
Lineage: Eukaryota; Viridiplantae; Streptophyta; Magnoliopsida; Malpighiales; Euphorbiaceae
Source: RNAcentral
CGAGUGUCUUGAUCAGCAGAAGUACCCCGGAAAAACCCGCCCGACAUUUUUAAGGGUUUUGAUGAAGGACGAUGUGAAAUAAGGUAAAAUCCGUGUGCGAUUCUGCGAUAAGAGGGAGAGUCGCAGUGCGAGAGCUGAGAGGUAUAUUUGGGAAAUGAACUUGGAGAUUAAGCUACUCUCUCUGGAUUCUCUGGUUGCGCCUCGGCACGUG